RNAcentral lists this ribosomal RNA (120 nucleotides) under Pinus taiwanensis. The record is from RNAcentral. Lineage: Eukaryota; Viridiplantae; Streptophyta; Pinopsida; Pinales; Pinaceae.
GGGUGCGAUCAUACCAGCGUUAAUGCACCGGAUCCCAUCAGAACUCCGUAGUUAAGCGCGCUUGGGCUAGAGUAGUACUGGGAUGGGUGACCUCCCGGGAAGUCCUAGUGUUGCACCCUC